AUGAGCAUGUUGUAGUGGUUUGAAUGUUGGACUACAACUCUGGAGACCAGGGUUCGAUUCCUUGCUCAGC
RNAcentral lists this transfer RNA (70 nucleotides) under Phrynosoma platyrhinos (Desert horned lizard). RNAcentral's name for it is "tRNA-OTHER". The record is from RNAcentral. Lineage: Eukaryota; Metazoa; Chordata; Lepidosauria; Squamata; Phrynosomatidae.